AGCGGGGUAGAGGAAUUGGUCAACUCAUCAGGCUCAUGACCUGAAGACUGCAGGCUCAAAUCCUGUCCCUACCU
This 74-nucleotide transfer RNA is filed under the name Triticum aestivum (bread wheat). It matches the Rfam family "tRNA". From Rfam's summary of the family: Transfer RNA (tRNA) molecules are approximately 80 nucleotides in length. Their secondary structure includes four short double-helical elements and three loops (D, anti-codon, and T loops). Further hydrogen bonds mediate the characteristic L-shaped molecular structure. tRNAs have two regions of fundamental functional importance: the anti-codon, which is responsible for specific mRNA codon recognition, and the 3' end, to which the tRNAs corresponding amino acid is attached (by aminoacyl-tRNA synthetases). tRNAs cope with the degeneracy of the genetic code in two manners: having more than one tRNA (with a specific anti-codon) for a particular amino acid; and 'wobble' base-pairing, i.e. permitting non-standard base-pairing at the 3rd anti-codon position. Lineage: Eukaryota; Viridiplantae; Streptophyta; Magnoliopsida; Poales; Poaceae. The record is from Rfam by way of RNAcentral. RNAcentral also lists the same sequence under 1 other name.